Molecule: long non-coding RNA, 497 nt
Organism: Solanum dulcamara
Lineage: Eukaryota; Viridiplantae; Streptophyta; Magnoliopsida; Solanales; Solanaceae
Exons: 2
Source: RefSeq, a predicted model, not a curated record
GCCUUCACUAAAACACCAAUCCUCUCCCUUUCCCAAAGCCUUAACAAAUUUUACUCUUCAAUUCCGUAAUGUAGAGUUGUUUCUCAUCUUCAAGUUUUUCUAGAUUCAUCAUCUAUAUCCAUCAAGGUGUUUGUAGGUUGGAAAGAACAAAAAAGGGCAAACACAGAAUUAGAGAUGAAGCAAGAGCUAAAUCUAAGGAUGGAACCUCAAAUUGGUGAAAGAACCCAGCUAUUUAAUGGCUCCAUGUAACGGAGCUAAAAAGUUGAAAUUGGCACAAGAAAGAAUUUUGAACAAGUGAAGGCCAUAACUAAGCCGCUUCGCGGAGAAGGCUUUUUGGCAAAAUGUGCAGGAAUGCAGCAUCUCUGUGUCUUGCAGACUUGAAACCAUAAUUUUGGUCUCAUUGUUCCAGCACUAUAAAAAGACUAGUUGUUAUUAUUUUUAAUUCAGGGUUAUUAUUUAAAGUUGUUCUUGUUUUAAUUAUUUUAAUGCUUGAUCAA